ACUGAGCGGCGGACGGGUGAGUAACGCGUGGGUAACCUGCCUCGUACAGGGGGAUAACAGUUGGAAACGGCUGCUAAUACCGCAUAAGCGCACAGUACCGCAUGGUACGGUGUGAAAAACUCCGGUGGUAUGAGAUGGACCCGCGUCUGAUUAGUAGUUGGUGGGGUAACGGCCUACCAAGCCGACGAUCAGUAGCCGACCUGAGAGGGUGACCGGCCACAUUGGGACUGAGACACGGCCCAA
RNAcentral lists this ribosomal RNA (243 nucleotides) under uncultured bacterium. RNAcentral's name for it is "partial 16S ribosomal RNA". It matches the Rfam family "Bacterial small subunit ribosomal RNA", at positions 90 to 334 of the family's 1533-position model. The record is from RNAcentral.